UAACGUUGCUGUGAGUGUGACUGUUGACGUCACGUGUCAUCUAUUGUCAGGACGCAACUCUCAUUUGGACAUUGGAAUGUAAUCGGCAGUAUAAUAUUACAGGAAAGAUGAACUUCUUCAGCUGCACAUUCCCGAAGUAUCGAGAGCUGAUUCCCCUGGUUACUGUUGUCACAGCGGCGGUGGGCGGCAGCUUCGCGGCUGGGUUCUACGCGCUCUUAGUAAGACCUGAUAUCAGGUAAGUAGGAUGUUAAUCUACACUACACUACAUUAC
Molecule: long non-coding RNA, 271 nt
Organism: Gigantopelta aegis
Lineage: Eukaryota; Metazoa; Mollusca; Gastropoda; Neomphalida; Peltospiridae
Exons: 3
Source: RefSeq, a predicted model, not a curated record